This 469-nucleotide ribosomal RNA is filed under the name uncultured bacterium. Its description in RNAcentral is "partial 16S ribosomal RNA". It matches the Rfam family "Bacterial small subunit ribosomal RNA", at positions 28 to 507 of the family's 1533-position model. The record is from RNAcentral.
GACGAACGCUGGCGGCGUGCUUAACACAUGCAAGUCGAACGGAAAGGCCCUGCUUGUGGGGUGUGCUCGAGGGGCGAACGGGUGAGUAACACGGGAGUAACCUGCCCUUGACUUGGGGAUGACUGCGGGAAACGGGGGCUAAUACCGGAUAGGAGCUCCUGCUGCAGGGGGGUGGUUGGAAAUUUUUGGCGGUGAAGGAUGAGCGCGCUGCUUAUCAGCUUGUGGGUGGGGGAGUGGCCUACCAAGGCUUUGACGGGUAGCCGGCCUGAGAGGGUGGACGGGCACGUUGGGACUGGGAUACGGCCCAGACGCCUACGGGAGGCAGCAGUGGGGAAUAUUGCACAAUGGGCGCAAGCCUGAUGCAGCGACGCCGCGUGGGGGAUGACGGCCUUCGGGUUGUAAACUCCUUUCGCUAGGGACGAAGCUUUUUGUGACGGUACCUAGAUAAGAAGCACCGGCUAACUACGUG